UUGAAAGAAAAAAGUGGGAGACGAGAAAAGAAUUAAUAAGCCAAAGGGUUUUUCAACUAUUGUGGAUUUUGAAUUUCAAAUUCGAUUUUAGAGUACAUAAUACAACACCCCCACAUAAUAUGUGCGUAUGUAUAUAUAUAUAUACAUAUGUGCCGAGAUCUUUUUUAUUCCACCUUUUUUACUAGCUUGUUGAAUGAAAAAAGUGGGAGAUAAAAAGAGAUAUUUAUACUCGUCUCGCGUCAAUCUCGACCGUCCAAUCACAUUUAAAGAGAAAUAAAUAUUGAAUGUUCAUCGCGAUUUGAUCUCAACCAUCCGAUCGCGUUUAAAGAGGAAAUGAAUAUAAACUGUUCAUCGCGUUUAAUUACGAUUAUCCAAUCACGUAUGAGGAGGGAAUGAAUCCGGACCCUAGCCGUAAGCCUCCUACCGGAGAAGAAAAAUCAAUCACCGGAGAAAAGUGCCGACUGUCGACUAUUACCGCGCCGGAACCACCUCCGACCGUAAAAAAGGUAAAGAUUCUCCUAUCUACUAAGAAUUUGAUUCUGAGCACCUCCAUGGCCAAAUUGGAGUAAAAGAAAUGACGGGUGAGCCGAAAAAUUACAGGCAAAGCUAGGCGGUGCUGCCGCAAGCAAAACCUGCAACCGCCUCCGAUGAGCCCCUUCCCAUUUUCCUUUUCGUACGAUUUUUUCACUGUUCUAUUUUCUACAAGUUGACCGAAGAAAUACGCCCAACCACACAAGUGAGCCGGCAAAGCUGCCGCAUUGAAAAAUUCUAGCAUCGGUAUGUUUCUAUUUUUUUAUAUUUUUCGACUAACCGAGACCUCCAACGUGUUUUUUCAUAGGAAUUGAUAUAUAUCCUGAAUAUCUUUGAGUUUUUAUUUAUCCUAGGGAUAUUUUUUUAUUUUUUGUUUAUUGGAGAUAUACUCUAUUAAUUGAUCAUAGUAGAAAACGUUUUUACCGAUCUUACCUGUAAAUGUAAGCACACUGCCGAACUACAUUAAAUUAUAUGUUAUUCUUUUGUUUUGUUUUAUAUUUGUUGUGAUUGUAUGUCAUUUUGGAAUUAAUUUCUCCAACAGUUGAUAUCUUAAUUUUUUUAUUUUCUAAUUUUUUUAAAAAAAUUUAAGAAUUUGAGUACGCUGAAAUUUCUUUUUCUGACACAGAAAAAAAGUCAGUGGUAAAGAUGAUGACGAGAUAUAUUAUACCACCUUUGACCAACAAAAAGUGAAACUAAAACAAAUUGUGAUAAUCAAAACACUUAGGGUAUUGAAUGUGUUGUCAUUUAGAAUCCUUCGUUAGCUCUUCUUUAAAGAGAAGUAAAUACAAAUAUAUUAGUUACUUUUAUUUUCCUGGUGAACCAAAAAAAAAAGUAAUUAUAUACUGAAUUUUAAAUUAAGAUGCAGUAAUUUGUUUUAAAUUUUCGCUACUACUUUGAUAAAUAUAUUUAAAAUUUUCACUUUAUAAUUAUUGACAUCUCAAGUAAACAAAAUUUAUUUACUUCAAUAGUUAAUGCAUAAUUUAAAAAUAUUUUAGAACCUAGAUGAUUUUGCUAUAUUGAUGUGCCUAAGCUAAUAAUAUGCUAAGUUACGAUCGCUCAAAUGAGAAAAAAUUGAUAGUUUUGCUCGUGGUGAUUAUGAUCAUAUUAUUACACCUAACCACAUUAGAAGUAGUAAUAACUAGGUUAUGGGAUUUAUAUUCAACUUGAAUAUUUCCAAAUUGGUGGUGGCUAAAAUUCUAGAGGUAUUUGAGGAUCUCAAGUUUGCAUGGCGUAAAGGUAUCAAAAUUUUUAUUAUUGAGGUUGAUUUUUUUAUGUAUUAAGCAAUUUUUUACUAAUAUGAAAGAGAUUUCUUUUUUUUCGGAUCUGAAGAGGUUUAGCUCAUGGUACUUCUUAACUUUAACUGGAAGAUUCAGAUCUCCCAUAUCUCUAGAGAAGAAAAUUCAUAUACCAAUUGUCUUGCAUAUUAAACUCACAAGUCCAUUAGGAGUUAUAGAGAAUUAAUUCAUGCUUCUAAUUAUCUCCUUUUCUACAACUACUUAAAUCACUAUGACAUUAUUUAGGCACAUCUCCCUUGUAUGAUGAGUUGUUUGAUUUGUUCCCCCUUGGUGGCAAACAAAAGAAAAAGUAGAACAUUGAUUGCUUAUCUCCCUAUAUUCUUAUGUUUGUUUUUAUUGUAAAAAUUAAUAGAUAAAGUGUUAUUUUUUUAAAAUUUAUUCAUAUUUCAAUUGACAUGACAUACCAUUAAAAUUAAUUACUUCAAUUAGAUAGUUAUAUAAAAUUACUAAUUAAAUACAAUUAGAAGAGUAUAUAUAUCUUUUUUCAAAAAACGGACAUAUUACUUUUCGGAAUAGUAAUCGUAAAUCAAAUUUUCAUAUUAGCUAAUAUAAUAAUAAUCAUAAAUUAAUGUUGAUAUAGUUUGAAUUUUGAAAAUAUUUAUCUAUAUUUUGAGAAAUAGUUCAUGUUUAUGUUAGUAUAUAUUUUAUAUAUAACUUAAAGAUAUUUUUUAUUUAUUCUAUGAAAUAUGUGAUGUAUAUUAUAGUGGAUAUUUUAUGAAUAUUUUGUAAAAAUUUUUUUAAUUAUCAUUAGAAUUAUGUGAUAUAUAUCUAGAAUAGUUUUGUUUGAUAAAAACUUUAAUAAUCUCUCUAUAUAUAAGAGUAAAUUUUAUGUUUUUUUUUUUAUUCUUACUUCAUUAUAAUUAUGUGUAAUUUUGGAAUUAAUUUCUCUAACAGUUGACAUCUUAAUUAUUUUUAUUUUUCUAUUUCUUUUAAAAAUUUUAAGAAUUUAAGUAUGCUGAAAUGUUUUUCUUACAGAAAAAAAAAAAAAAAAAGUUAGAUGGCAAGGAUGAUGAAUAGAUAUAUCAUACCAAUUUUGACCAACUAAAAGUGAAACUAAAACAAAUGAUAAUAAUCAUAACCAUAGCUAUGAUAAUGAUGCAUAUAUAUAUAUAUAUAUAUAUAUAUAUAUAUAUAUAUAUAACACGUACAUUAUAUGAAUUCUUUUGGGCAUAGUAGAAAAUAUUCAAAUUGCUUAUGACAACUAUAAAAAUGGGUGUCAGUCUUUAUUGGCUAGUGAACAUGUAAACAGUUAAUCCCUAUAUAUGUUCUUGAUUUUCUUUGUUGGGUUUUGUCUUUGCUAUUUGGGAUUUUAUGUGAGAGGAUGAUGCUUUUUCUUCCAUUUUUAAAAUAUUAUAUAUUAAAAUUAAACAGUUAUUCAUAAAUAAUAUAAAUAUUAUUUUUUUUAUGAAAAACUAAUUUAAAUUAAUAUCUUAAUUUUUACUUGGUACGUGUAAAUAGAUCCUAAUAUGAUUUUUAUCCUCAAUUGAUAUAGUUAGUGUUUGUAAAUGGAUUUGUACCCUCUUAGUGCCUUUGCUUAAUGAUACACUUUAUACUUAUUAUUUAAAAAAAAAAAAAAAAAUCUUCGUAGUAAUUAUUUGAAUCCAAGUAUUAUAGUAGCCUAGUUUGUUGCCGCACUAUAACCGUUUUAGUCCUACUACUAAUAGUAAUACUCUAAAUCUAAUCAUCCAAGUGAAAGUAUUUUAAAAGUAAUCCGAACGUCAGUUGUAAUUGUAAAAAUAAUCCACUAAUCUUAAUAUCAUAGUCAUAUUCCUAAGAGUCCAAUUCUUAUUUGCAUUACUAAUCUUAAUGCACAAUAAUGAAUAGUGUUGUUCCCACGGAGAAAAGAACAUAAAUAUUGUUCGUUCAACCAUAUUCAUAUUCAUGAUCUAAUACCACGAAUAAGACUUUCUUUAGAACAAAAAAUAUUAAACUAGAAUGGAUUUUAAAUGAGUUCUUACGUUUAAAAUAAAUCAAAAUACUCAUUGAAAUAUUCUAUUUAAAACAAAUUUAUUUAAGGUAUGAAAUGAAAUUAGAAUAGAAGAAAUGAAAAUUAAAACAAAGAUAAUUGGAAUAAAAGCAAUAAUGUCGCAAGAUUUAAAUAAAACUAAAAGAAACUAUCCAUAAUACUCAUGUUGCGAAAAUUUCUUCCAGUUGUCAGUGUUUAAAAAUAUCUCAAAAGAUAUCGAUAUAUAUGUAUGGGCUAAAGUAUAAUUUUUUUUGGUCAAAUAAAAGCUGCAUUUUAAAAAAUUUUCUGGACCAAUACAUAAUUUGUGUGUGUGUGUAAAUAUAUAUAUACAUAUGUGCCGAGAUCUUUUUUAUUCCGCCUUUCUGUCUGACUUGUUGAAAGAAAAAAGUGGGAGACGAGAAAAGAAUUAAUAAGCCAAAGGGUUUUUCAACUAUUGUGGAUUUUGAAUUUCAAAUUCGAUUUUAGAGUACAUAAUACAACACCCCCACAUAAUAUGUGCGUAUGUAUAUAUAUAUAUAUAUAUAUACAUACAUAUGUGCCGAGAUCUUUUUUAUUCCACCUUUUUUACUAGCUUGUUGAAUGAAAAAAGUGGGAGAUAAAAAGAGAUAUUUAUACUCGUCUCGCGUUAAUCUCGACCGUCCAAUCACAUUUAAAGAGAAAUAAAUAUUGAAUGUUCAUCGCGAUUUGAUCUCAACCAUCCGAUCGCGUUUAAAGAGGAAAUGAAUAUAAACUGUUCAUCGCGUUUAAUUACGAUUAUCCAAUCACGU
This 4559-nucleotide long non-coding RNA is filed under the name Carica papaya (papaya). RNAcentral describes it as "long non-coding RNA (CPAP_LNC016086)". The record is from RNAcentral. Lineage: Eukaryota; Viridiplantae; Streptophyta; Magnoliopsida; Brassicales; Caricaceae.